AAUAGAUACCCGGGUAGUCCACGCCGUAAACGAUGGAUACUAGCUGUUUGAGCGCAAGUUUGAGUGGCUAAGCGAAAGUGAUAAGUAUCCCACCUGGGGAGUACGGGCGCAAGCCUGAAACUCAAAGGAAUUGACGGGAGCCCGCACAAGCGGUGGAGCAUGUGGUUUAAUUCGAUGAUACGCGAGGAACCUUACCAGGGCUUAAAUGUAGAUUGACGUAUUUGGAAACAGAUAUUUCUUCGGACAAUUUACAAGGUGCUGCAUGGUUGUCGUCAGCUCGUGCCGUGAGGUGUCAGGUUAAGUCCUAUAACGAGCGCAACCCCUGUUGUUAGUUGCCAGCGAGUAAUGUCGGGAACUCUAGCAAGACUGCCAGUGUAAACUGUGAGGAAGGUGGGGAUGACGUCAAAUCAUCACGGCCCUUACGUCCUGGGCCACACACGUGCUACAAUGGCCGGUACAGAGAGCAGCCACUUAGCGAUAAGGAGCGAAUCUAUAAAGCCGGUCACAGUUCGGA
RNAcentral lists this ribosomal RNA (514 nucleotides) under uncultured bacterium. Its description in RNAcentral is "bacterial SSU rRNA". It matches the Rfam family "Bacterial small subunit ribosomal RNA", at positions 777 to 1297 of the family's 1533-position model. The record is from RNAcentral.